RNAcentral lists this ribosomal RNA (492 nucleotides) under uncultured bacterium. RNAcentral describes it as "partial 16S ribosomal RNA". It matches the Rfam family "Bacterial small subunit ribosomal RNA", at positions 29 to 507 of the family's 1533-position model. The record is from RNAcentral.
AGUGAACGCUGGCGGUAGGCCUAACACAUGCAAGUCGAACGGCAGCACAGUAAGAGCUUGCUCUUACGGGUGGCGAGUGGCGGACGGGUGAGGAAUACAUCGGAAUCUACUUUUUCGUGGGGGAUAACGUAGGGAAACUUACGCUAAUACCGCAUACGACCUACGGGUGAAAGCAGGGGAUCUUCGGACCUUGCGCGAUUGAAUGAGCCGAUGUCGGAUUAGCUAGUUGGCGGGGUAAAGGCCCACCAAGGCGACGAUCCGUAGCUGACCUGAGAGGAUGAUGGGCCACAGUGGAACUGAGACAAGGUCCAGACGCCGACGGGAGGCAGCAGUAGGGAAUGUUGCGCAAGGGGCGAAAGCCUGACGGAGCAACGCCGCGUGAGGGAGGAAGGUCGUCGGAUCGGAAAACUCUGUUAUGAGGGAAGAACAAAUGUGUAAGUAACUAGGCACGUCUUGACGGUACCUAAUCAGAAAGCCACGGCUAACUACGUG